AACGCUGGCGGCAAGCCUAACACAUGCAAGUUGCGCGAUUUUUUAAUAGCAGCGAACGGGUGAGUAAUAUAUAAGAAUUUACCUAUUAGUAAAGAAUACUAUAUAGAAAUAUAUAUUAAUACUUUAUUAAUCCUAAUGGAUAAAGUAUGGGAAAGCCAUAUGCUAAUAGAAAAGCUUAUAUCGGAUUAGCUAGUUGUUGAAGUAAAAGUUUAACAAGGCUAUGAUCCGUAGUUGAUCUGAGAGGAUGAACAACCACAUUGGAACUGAGACACGGUCCAAACUUUUAAGGAAGGCAGCAGUGGGGGAUAUUGGACAAUGAGCGAAAGCUUGAUCCAGCUAUGUCGCGUGUGUGAAGACGGCCUUAGGGUUGUAAAACACUUUCAAUAAUGUAUGAAGAGUUUUUUUUUUAAAAAAAAAAUAACUUUGACAAAAUAUUAUAAAAGAAGCACCGGCUAACUUCGUGCCAGCAGCCGCGGUAAUACGAGGGGUGCUAGCGUUAAUCGGAAUUACUGGGCGUAAAGGGUGUGUAGGUUGUGACAAUAUGUUGUUUAUUAAAUUUAUUAAUAAAAUUAAUAAGAUAAACAAAACUUUAUCACUAGAGUAUAAAAGAAGAAAAUAGAAUUCCAAGAGUAGCAGUGAAAUGCUUAGAUAUUUGGAGGAAUACUAGUGGCGAAGGCGUUUUUCUAUUUUAAUACUGACACUGAUGCACGAAAGCGUGGGGAGCAAACAGGAUUAGAUACCCUGGUAGUCCACGCAGUAAACGUUGUCAACUAUUUAUUAAAUAACAUAAUUUUUAUAAUAAUUUUAAAGUUUUAUAAAUUAUGUAUUUUUAGUGAAAAAGCUAACGCGUUAAGUUGACCGCCUGGGGAUUACGACCGCAAGGUUAAAACUCAAAUGAAUUGACGGGGGCUCGCACAAGCGGUGGAGCAUGUGGUUUAAUUCGAUACAACACGAAAAACCUUACCUACUCUUGACAUCCAAAGAAUUUAUUAGAAAUAAUAACGCUAUAAUAUAGCUUUGAGACAGGUGCUGCAUGGCUGUCGUCAGCUCGUGUUGUGAAAUGUUGGGUUAAGUCCUAUAACGAGCGCAACCCUUAUCUUAUUUUGCUUUAAUAAAAAAUUAGAACUAAUAAGAAACUGCCAAUGAUAAAUUGGAGGAAGGUGAGGACGACGUCAAGUCAUCAUGGCCCUUAUGAGUAGGGCUACACACGUGCUACAAUGAAUAAUACAAAAAGUUAUAGCUAAAUGGCAACAUUAUGCAUAAUCUCUAAAAUUAUUCUUAGUUCGGAUUGAAGUCUGCAACUCGACUUCAUGAAGUUGGAAUCGCUAGUAAUCGUAAAUCAGCAUGUUACGGUGAAUACGUUCUCGAGCCUUGUACACACCGCCCGUCACACCAUGGAAGUUAAUUGUAUCUGAAGUAAUUUAAAUAAUACGACGGUAUGAU
This 1443-nucleotide ribosomal RNA is filed under the name Candidatus Carsonella ruddii. RNAcentral's name for it is "bacterial SSU rRNA". It matches the Rfam family "Bacterial small subunit ribosomal RNA". The record is from RNAcentral. Lineage: Bacteria; Pseudomonadati; Pseudomonadota; Gammaproteobacteria; Oceanospirillales; Halomonadaceae.